UGAUGCAUGAGUAACUAUGUGAAAUAUAGUUCGAGGAGGUGCACGUAUUGUACAAGAUUAUCCAAGAUACAAAGUCAAAUGGAAGAACGAUAUGGCUAGAAUAAAAUACUAUAUAACAGUUCAUUGAUUACUUCCACUUCUAUAUACUACUUGCUUAAAAAUAUGAUUAUAUAACGAAUGAGGGUUAUAGAAACAAUCAUUACACCUCUUGCAUAUACAUAUAAGCUCUUUUUGUUCUCGUGGAACAAGCGUUAUUAAAAAACGAACGAUCAUUACAUCUCAUAGAUAAAUAUUUAAAAAUGAUGAUUAAGAAAGAAAACCAGCAUACAUUCAGAAAUAAAGAAAAUCAUCGAGAAACAAGUGUGAACAAAAAGUUAUUGAAAAGAAACGUUUCAAAACAGGUGUCGCUCCACCAACGUGCCCAGCGUCGCAGAAAACGCAGUCUCCAAAAGGUCCACUCCCUCCUCUCCAAUUUUGAAGAAUAAGAAAUCAUCCGGCGAUUCGGCGUAUUGACUAGAUAACUUGUAUCGAGCCUCCUUCGUCCUAUCCACUCUCCAACCGAACAAUUGGUAACAAGCUUGUCGGUAUUCUUGCGACGAUGCUUUGAAGGCUUCCUUGAGACGAGCUAUUUUAAUCUCGUGUGUCUGUUUGAGUUCCGCUAUUU
Molecule: unclassified non-coding RNA, 664 nt
Filed under: Bombus terrestris (buff-tailed bumblebee)
Lineage: Eukaryota; Metazoa; Arthropoda; Insecta; Hymenoptera; Apidae
Description: misc RNA ENSBTSG00005028678.1
Source: RNAcentral